CAAAGAGGGACGAUUUUAUUUAUUUUUAUUCUCGCGCGCCCUCUCUCCCGCGCCCCCCCUAAAUCUCCACCCCCGCUCAUUAUCAGCCCCUGAAAUCUUCUUCAUUAGUAGCUGCCCCGACCAGCAGACCCUCUCCGCAACACCCUGCAAACCCCGUCUUCCCCACAACAUCAACCCCUAAACCUCUUGCAAACCCGUCUUCUCCAACUGUAGCUCCAAAAUCCCAAACCCAUCUUCGUCUGUGAGCUUAACAACCUCUCCACCAUUUCUGACAACCACAUUCCCCAACCGCCAUUGGUGACGAAACCCAUCUCUAGCCACUGCCCCAAGUUCCAGAUCCACAGGCCGGACGAACGAUUUCGGCUGCAGGAGCAUCAAAUCCGACCACAGUUAUCGCUGCCCCCUCAACCCCAAUGCCUAGAAGCCAUCCACCACCACCAUCUAUGACCAAUUGGCAAUGCUUUUAAAUGAUGCUUGUAACCUAUUCAAAGAAAUAAAGCUUCUGAAGAUGUGGUUUGUGGAAAUGAUAUGACAUGGUAGCAACAAAGCCCAAUGGAGAAGGAAUCUUCAAACUUACAGUGGGAGAGAUGUGCAACAGGUAAUAGAUUUAUUUUAAUUUGAAAUCUUGUUUCAAUUUUGAUUUAUAUGUGGAUUACAUUGGGUUUUUAGAUUUUCAGUAAUUGGGAUUUUGUAUACAAAGUUGGUCACAUGCGGUUGAGGCCACAUGCAUGCACAUGUUGAAGGCGAUACUUUUGUCAUUCUGUAUUAUAUGUAUGCAACUGAUGCUUGAUGUGGAAAUCUGGCCCCUUUCAAGUGUAUAACUGAAUGCAAUUUGGGGUCCAUGUUAAUGUUCGGGUGGCACUUUUAUGAUGACUUUUACCGGCAGUCACAAAACCGCUGGGGUAUGGAGCAAGAGGAGAGGCUUCAAUCCCUGUACCAGCGAAGAGUUGAAGCAUCAUCAAAUGCAUCAGGUCCUUCAUUCUGAAAUGUAACGUGGCAGCCAACAGCUCCUAAUGAGGGGAAGUUAAGGGUGUUCCUGGUGCUUACAGUGAAUCAGCAGCUGCCAAGGCCUACCCAAAUUGUGAAGCAGUUCCCUGCAAACAAUUUGAAACUGCCUCCAAUGUGACUUUCUUUCUUCCACGUAAAUUUACAUAUUGUUCUUAUUCCUUUUCUUUCCUAUGUUUCAUUGUGCAUUCACACACCAAAUGUGUAUUGAAUGAGCUUGGAAUUUUAUGGUUGAUUGAAUGAAAAUGUUGGAAAUAUAACAAAUGCAACGUCUUUUGAUUGGUUUUUGUUUCCAUCCACAAUUUUUUCUAAAGAUACAAGCUACACAGAGGAAGUGAAGAGGUUAUCUAUUUCCUGUUGCAUUCAUAUUGGCUAGAUCAUCUUAUAUUGACCUUCUCCCAUGUUUAGCAAGGGCCCAUUCAGCGUUGCUUUUAGAAAGUGUGGAAUCGUUUCUCAAUAAACAACUGUAUGCAAGUUAUUUGCCAUUGAAAAUUGGAAUGUAGUGAGGAACAUGUCAAUGCAGUUUCGGGUACUAGGCAUAAUUUGAUUCAAACCAUAAUUUUCCACAUGUAUUGCAAUUAUCAAUAUAAGUCUCAUGGUAUAAUUUGUCAAUCUAUGUCAAUUUUAGUAGAUCCUAUAUAUUUUCUUGUUGCAGUUUCAAUUUUUCCUUCAGCAAUAAUGUUCAAUUGCUUGUUGGUAUUUGUUCAUGUUACUUGCAGCGUAUAAAACAUUUCAAACUUCCUGUAAGGUGUUACAAGUACAGAGUUCCCAUUUUUGUGAUUCCACCUCACUUAAUCUAUGGGAGGACAAGGUUAUUGGUUGUGUUGGGUCCCUACUCAUGGCUCAGUGGUAGACUCACAAGAGUUUCAACAAAGAGGUCAUGAGUUUUAGUACCCAUUGUGGUGCAUGUUGGCGUGAGUGGGUGUGGGUGUGAAUGUGUCUAGGACAGAUGGUACGUGGGGUUUGAUUCAGUACCUGCAGCAGUUGACUGUUCUCCAAACAUUAAUGAUGAUUACUAUACAUAAUGUUCUCCCAACAUUAAUAUGAAUUACUAUACACAGUCAUGUUUUGUGUUGCCAAUCCUUUCCCAUGAUGGCCAACAAUCUGAGUUUCUUAUCCUUUUAUUGGUUGAACAUAUCACUCUCCAGCCUUUGUUCAAGCAUCAGAAUUUUUUAUCUUUUUAUUCCUUGAGGCCUUCAUAUUUCUUACCUUUUUUGAGGUCUUCGCAUCUUUUGCCAAUAUCUGGACAAGUCAUCGGCCAGCAAACAUUGUUGGGAAUUGUGAUAACAACCAGUAUUCAUGGUCCUUGAUUCUUUGCUACAGCUAUAUCGCUUGGAAUGUCAAUUACCAUCUAUUUGGAAUUGAACACUUGUUUUCAUUUAUCAUGGACAUGGCUAGUAUUCUUCACUUAGUGUUUCUUUUGAGGCUUUUCUGAGCAGUUUUGUUUGAAGAGGGAGGCUAGGCUAUCUGGUUUGCUUAAUGAGUGCUUCAUGAGUUGAUGCUUAUCUGCUCUUUUCUUUUUUUUAUUUCAACUCUGUUAAAAUAACCAGCAUAUACUGACAGGAAGAAUUCUUUUCCAGCAUUGGCCGUGUUAAUCCUGAGCUAUAUGCUUUAAGUGCUGAUAUGCGGAAUGGGCUAAGUGAUAAUUCUACCAGCUUCAAAUAUGAUUCAAAUUUGGAAGUAUGGAUGCAAAACUAUGCUAAUGUCCUUUGCAUCAAUUGCUGGCAGCAACUAUUGAUUUCUUCCCGAAAUCUGGAGUUUUUCACCAAUGGUUAUCGCUACCUCAUUCAGAUUCUUCCUGCUGCCGUUGUUGAUCUGAUGUAUUUGUCAGCCAAAAUUGAGUUUGGAGUUUUUCACCAAUGGUUAUCGCUACCUUAUUCAGAUUCUUCCUCUGCUAAGUAAUCAACUGUAGAUCUUCUAUGACUACAAGUUCAUGAGCAUGUGCCAGCAUAGAGAGAUGAUCUUCAUAUGACUCCUUAUCAAGCUUAGAAACUUCCCAGAAUUAAUCUGUGAUUUCUGUCUACUUGUUUACUGAAUAUUAUGGUAUAUUGCCUAGUUUAUGAAAAACUUCCAUUUUCAGGUCUUAGAAUCAGCUUUCAUAGUAAUUGGACAAUCCCAAUCCUCGAUGCUUUUGCUUCCUGUCUAUUUAUUGUUGACCAUUGACCAUUAAUCUUCUCAUUCAAAUUUUGGGUUAACAAUCUAGUUGCAAUUGGGAUGAAUGGGAUUGGUUUUUGGACUAAAGUACAUCUACAGAUGGCCCAUGAAAUCAGCGGUCUGGAUCACUAUACACAAUUGCUAAUCCUAUGAUGGAGAUGUUUUGUUGGCACUUUAUGGAACUCAUACUAGCACUCUUUGGGCUACCAAAUUACUUGUGUAAGACGAGAUUAGUGGCUUUUAAUUUUUCCUAAUCUCUCGCUAAUUUCAGGCACCGGUCGGACGGAUUUAUUUCACUGGGGAACACACCAGUGAGCAUUAUAAUGGCUACGUUUAUGGGGCCAACCUGGCAGGUAAUGAUUCUGCUAAUAUGAUGAUUGGCUGCAUCAAGAAAAAGAUAUGCAAAUUCCAGAUCAUGCCUAAGGGCACUUGAAUCCCACGAUUCCCCUAACACCUCAACUUCCAGGAACUAUUCAGGACCACCUACAAAUAUUCAACAUUGAGAUGAAGGCAAAAAUGAAAUCACAUCAGAUGCCCGAGCUGGUGAUAAUGUCAUCCACUUUAAACUUUAUUAGCUCACUUUUCUAUUUAUUUCAUAGGCUGUUUCAUUUCACAAUUAGUUUCCAUGCCAUAUUGUUAUAUUCACAGGUGUUUUGGAAGUGGAUUACCCCAAAGAUAUUGGGGCUGGUCACACAAACAUCAGUGUAUCAUUUGUCAAUAGAAGGUAAUAUUGCAUUUUUCUUUUGUACAAG
This is a long non-coding RNA of Magnolia sinica, 3911 nucleotides long. RefSeq lists it as uncharacterized. Lineage: Eukaryota; Viridiplantae; Streptophyta; Magnoliopsida; Magnoliales; Magnoliaceae. The record is from RefSeq and is a predicted model, not a curated record. The transcript is spliced from 8 exons.